Molecule: ribosomal RNA, 250 nt
Filed under: uncultured bacterium
Lineage: Bacteria
Description: partial 16S ribosomal RNA
Rfam family: Bacterial small subunit ribosomal RNA
Source: RNAcentral
UACGAAGGGUGCGAGCGUUGUUCGGAAUUAUUGGGCGUAAAGGGUUCGUAGGCGGUUAUGCAAGUCAAGUGUGAAAACCCUGGGCUCAACCUUGGGCGUGCAUUUGAAACUGCGUAUCUUGAGUUUUGGAGAGGGUGGUGGAAUUGCUGGUGUAGGAGUGACAUCCGUAGAGAUCAGCAGGAACACCGGAGGCGAAGGCGACCACCUGGCCGUAGACUGACGCUGAGGAACGAAAGCGUGGGGAGCAAAC